UAGGAAAUCUUCCGCAAUGGGCGAAAGCCUGACGGAGCAACGCCGCGUGAGUGAUGAAGGUCUUCGGAUCGUAAAACUCUGUUAUUAGGGAAGAACAAAUGUGUAAGUAACUAUGCACGUCUUGACGGUACCUAAUCAGAAAGCCACGGCUAACUACGUGCCAGCAGCCGCGGUAAUACGUAGGUGGCAAGCGUUAUCCGGAAUUAUUGGGCGUAAAGCGCGCGUAGGCGGUUUUUUAAGUCUGAUGUGAAAGCCCACGGCUCAACCGUGGAGGGUCAUUGGAAACUGGAAAACUUGAGUGCAGAAGAGGAAAGUGGAAUUCCAUGUGUAGCGGUGAAAUGCGCAGAGAUAUGGAGGAACACCAGUGGCGAAGGCGACUUUCUGGUCUGUAACUGACGCUGAUGUGCGAAAGCGUGGGGAUCAAACAGG
RNAcentral lists this ribosomal RNA (429 nucleotides) under Actinomycetes bacterium. RNAcentral's name for it is "Actinobacteria bacterium partial 16S ribosomal RNA". It matches the Rfam family "Bacterial small subunit ribosomal RNA", at positions 355 to 776 of the family's 1533-position model. Lineage: Bacteria; Bacillati; Actinomycetota; Actinomycetes. The record is from RNAcentral.